This 495-nucleotide ribosomal RNA is filed under the name uncultured Scutellospora. RNAcentral describes it as "SSU rRNA". It matches the Rfam family "Eukaryotic small subunit ribosomal RNA", at positions 591 to 1092 of the family's 1831-position model. Lineage: Eukaryota; Fungi; Glomeromycota; Glomeromycetes; Diversisporales; Gigasporaceae. The record is from RNAcentral.
CCAAUAGCGUAUAUUAAAGUUGUUGCAGUUAAAAAGCUCGUAGUUGAAUUUCGGGGUUCUACCGUUGGUCGGGCUUUGUCUGUACUGGCGUGUAGAAUUUCUACCUUCUGGGGAACCAUCAUGUUAUUAAUUUAGCGUGGUGGGAAACCAGGACCUUUACCUUGAAAAAAUUAGAGUGUUCAAAGCAGGCUUAUGUCUGAAUACAUUAGCAUGGAAUAAUAGAAUAGGACGGUGGUCCUGUUUUGUUGGUUUCUGAAUCACCGUAAUGAUUAAUAGGGAUAGUUGGGGGCAUUAGUAUUAAAUUUUCAGAGGUGAAAUUCUUGGAUUUAUUGAAGACUAACUUCUGCGAAAGCAUUUGCCAAGGAUGUUUUCAUUAAUCAAGAACGAAAGUUAGGGGAUCGAAGACGAUCAGAUACCGUCGUAGUCUUAACCAUAAACUAUGCCGACUAGGGAUCGGACGAUGUUAACUUUUCUUGACUCGUUCGGCGCCUUACG